Molecule: ribosomal RNA, 305 nt
Filed under: uncultured bacterium
Lineage: Bacteria
Description: bacterial SSU rRNA
Rfam family: Bacterial small subunit ribosomal RNA
Source: RNAcentral
CACCCUACGGGGGGCAGCAGUGGGGAAUAUCGCACAAUGGGGGGAACCCUGAUGCAGCGACGCCGCGUGAAGGAAGAAGUAUUUCGGUAUGUAAACUUCUAUCAGCAGGGAAGAAAAAGGACGGUACCUGACUAAGAAGCCCCGGCUAACUACGUGCCAGCAGCCGCGGUAAUACGUAGGGGGCAAGCGUUAUCCGGAUUUACUGGGUGUAAAGGGAGCGUAGACGGCAGCGCAAGUCUGGAGUGAAAUGCCGGGGCCCAACCCCGGAACUGCUCUGGAAACUGUGAAGCUGGAGUGCAGGCGAG